This 545-nucleotide ribosomal RNA is filed under the name fungal sp. RNAcentral's name for it is "eukaryotic LSU rRNA". The stretch from base 139 to 292 matches the Rfam family "5.8S ribosomal RNA". Lineage: Eukaryota; Fungi. The record is from RNAcentral.
CGGGCGCUGAUUUUAGGAUCUCUUUUUAGAGGUCCGACCCCUUCAUUUCCAUACACUGUGCACACACUUCUUUUCACACAUUUUAACACUAUAGUAUAAGAAUGUAACAGUCUCUUUAUUGAGCAUAAAUAAAAAUAAAACUUUCAGCAACGGAUCUCUUGGCUCUCGCAUCGAUGAAGAACGCAGCGAAUUGCGAUAAGUAAUGUGAAUUGCAGAAUUCAGUGAAUCAUCGAAUCUUUGAACGCACCUUGCACUCUUUGGUAUUCCGAAGAGUAUGUCUGUUUGAGUGUCAUGAAACUCUCAACCCCCCUAUUUUGUAAUGAGAUGGGCGUGGGCUUGGAUUAUGACUGUUGUCGGCGUAAUUGCCGGCUCAGUUGAAAUACACGAGCAACCCAUUUGAAAUAAACGGUUUGACUUGGCGUAAUAAUUAUUUCGCUAAGGACGUUUUCUUCAAAAGUAAGAGGUGCUUCUAAUGCGCUAUUACAGCACUUUAAAUUUUAGACCUCAAAUCAGUCAGGACUACCCGCUGAACUUAAGCAUAUCAA